Molecule: transfer RNA, 73 nt
Filed under: Thermoprotei archaeon
Lineage: Archaea; Thermoproteati; Thermoproteota; Thermoprotei
Description: tRNA-Val
Rfam family: tRNA
About the family: Transfer RNA (tRNA) molecules are approximately 80 nucleotides in length. Their secondary structure includes four short double-helical elements and three loops (D, anti-codon, and T loops). Further hydrogen bonds mediate the characteristic L-shaped molecular structure. tRNAs have two regions of fundamental functional importance: the anti-codon, which is responsible for specific mRNA codon recognition, and the 3' end, to which the tRNAs corresponding amino acid is attached (by aminoacyl-tRNA synthetases). tRNAs cope with the degeneracy of the genetic code in two manners: having more than one tRNA (with a specific anti-codon) for a particular amino acid; and 'wobble' base-pairing, i.e. permitting non-standard base-pairing at the 3rd anti-codon position.
Source: RNAcentral
GGGCCCGUGGUCUAGAGGCUAUGACGCCCGGCUUACGCCCGGGAGGUCCCCGGUUCGAAUCCGGGCGGGCCCA